Sander lucioperca (pikeperch) is the source of this 343-nucleotide long non-coding RNA. RefSeq lists it as uncharacterized. The record is from RefSeq and is a predicted model, not a curated record. The transcript has 3 exons. NCBI's taxonomy places the organism in Eukaryota, Metazoa, Chordata, Actinopteri, Perciformes, Percidae.
AGGCCACACACACACACACAUUAAGUAAAUGCAAGCAGGAAGUGCAUUUUCUGAUCUAACCUCAGUCUGAACAUUCAUUCAUGACGGAGAGACGGCAGUGGUUGUUGUUUCUGUAUCCGUGUGUGUGUGUGUGUGUUUCUAAUUGAGCAGAUGUUUCAGUAUUAAAGGUAUCCGCUCUCAUACCGUCAAGGCAGACACUGCAGCUGCUGUUGACGUGUUUUCAGUUGAUGGACCCAAUUACAGAACAAAAUGCAAAGGAUCUGAUAUUACUUAAAUUCUCGCCUCACGCUAAUUACUUUAGAUCUCAAUCCAAUCUAAUUCCUCUCCUCUGUCAACACCUUCC